RNAcentral lists this ribosomal RNA (498 nucleotides) under uncultured bacterium. RNAcentral's name for it is "partial 16S ribosomal RNA". It matches the Rfam family "Bacterial small subunit ribosomal RNA", at positions 28 to 523 of the family's 1533-position model. The record is from RNAcentral.
GACGAACGCUGGCGGCAUGCCUUACACAUGCAAGUCGAACGGUAACGGGCCUUCGGGUGCCGACGAGUGGCGAACGGGUGAGUAAUGCAUCGGAACGUACCCAUCAGUGGGGGAUAACUCUCCGAAAGGAGGGCUAAUACCGCAUAUUCUGUGCGCAGGAAAGCGGGGGACCGCAAGGCCUCGCGCUGAUGGAGCGGCCGAUGUCAGCUUAGCUAGUUGGUGGGGUAAAGGCCUACCAAGGCGACGAUCUGUAGCGGGUCUGAGAGGAUGAUCCGCCACAAUGGGACUGAGACACGGCCCAGACUCCUACGGGAGGCAGCAGUGGGGAAUUUUGGACAAUGGGGGCAACCCUGAUCCAGCCAUGCCGCGUGAGUGAAGAAGGCCUUCGGGUUGUAAAGCUCUUUCGGCCGGGAAGAAAGCGCAGCUCCUAAUACGGGGUGUGGAUGACGGUACCGGAAUAAGAAGCACCGGCUAACUACGUGCCAGCAGCCGCCGUAA